Molecule: ribosomal RNA, 249 nt
Filed under: Triticum aestivum (bread wheat)
Lineage: Eukaryota; Viridiplantae; Streptophyta; Magnoliopsida; Poales; Poaceae
Description: partial small subunit ribosomal RNA
Source: RNAcentral
AUGAUUCUCUCGGGGCUGCCGUCCCGACAUCCACCGCUCCGUCGCGCCCAGCGCAAUCAACUGGCACCGCCUUCCGGGGCCGCCGCCCCGACAUACCACCGCUUCCCUCGAGCAGCAACGCCGCACAACCCAGCUGCCCACAGCCCACGCUGCUCAGGGCAACCGCUCGCAGACCACGAUGGCGCACCGCAUCCGGGGCCGCCGCCCCGACGUAAAGUCAGAUCGCCCCCUCUAGGGCGCAUCGACUGA